UUAAAAAAUGUUUUCCUUCACAAGAUGUCCUUGAGUCGACUAGAACGAGUGGGAAAUUUAGCGGUUCAAAUUUUUGUGUCAGUUCUUGAAAAUUUAACCUACUCUCCAAAUUCUAGCCAAUACAAUAUAGCCAAAUAGCCUCGCUUGAUUUCUGAAUUUGCGUUUGUAUUAUUUAUUUACUCAGAAAAUGAUGUAUGGAUUAGAGCAUUUAAAUCACCUACAAACUCAGAAUUACUUGAUCACUGCUGUUUACCUCCACUAUUUCACACCGGGCAGCCUAAGAAUACGAACGAUAGAGCAUUCAAUCUAUCUCGGUGAGCUCAAGACACUAAUAGAGAACAUAUUCGAUCCAUUGCUUCUCGAAACAUCGAGACGAUGGCUCCAGAAAAGCGAGUCGCCGUACCCCGGCUAUUGUCGAGCGCCAGCCAGUGAUAAAUGUUUGCCUGUACUUUGUAAUUGUGAAAAACUCAGAGAAAUAUGGAAUAAACAAAAGAAAAAAAUCUAUCAAGGCAAUAAAUAAAAUAGCAUGCUUUAAUAGCUCUUAUAUUGUACACUAUUCCCCUCUUAUACAUCGUAUUUCUCUCUGCUAAUGGUUUGAUGGAAGAAAACUCAUGAAUGAGUUAA
Long non-coding RNA from Bombyx mori (domestic silkworm), 624 nucleotides. RefSeq lists it as uncharacterized. NCBI's taxonomy places the organism in Eukaryota, Metazoa, Arthropoda, Insecta, Lepidoptera, Bombycidae. The record is from RefSeq and is a predicted model, not a curated record. The transcript is spliced from 2 exons.